AGUGAACGCUGGCGGUAGGCCUAACACAUGCAAGUCGAACGGCAGCACAGUAAGAGCUUGCUCUUACGGGUGGCGAGUGGCGGACGGGUGAGGAAUACAUCGGAAUCUACUUUUUCGUGGGGGAUAACGUAGGGAAACUUACGCUAAUACCGCAUACGACCUACGGGUGAAAGCAGGGGAUCUUCGGACCUUGCGCGAUUGAAUGAGCCGGUGUCGGAUUAGCUAGUUGGCGGGGUAAAGGCCCACCAAGGCGACGAUCCGUAGCUGGUCUGAGAGGAUGAUCAGCCACACUGGAACUGAGACACGGUCCAGACUCCUACGGGAGGCAGCAGUGGGGAAUAUUGGACAAUGGGCGCAAGCCUGAUCCAGCCAUACCGCGUGGGUGAAGAAGGCCUUCGGGUUGUAAAGCCCUUUUGUUGGGAAAGAAAAGCAGCAUGUUAAAACCCCGCUGUUCUGACGGUACCCAAAGAAAAAGCACCGGCUAACUUCGUG
This 492-nucleotide ribosomal RNA is filed under the name uncultured bacterium. RNAcentral's name for it is "partial 16S ribosomal RNA". It matches the Rfam family "Bacterial small subunit ribosomal RNA", at positions 29 to 507 of the family's 1533-position model. The record is from RNAcentral.